RNAcentral lists this ribosomal RNA (550 nucleotides) under Mesorhizobium ciceri. RNAcentral describes it as "bacterial SSU rRNA". It matches the Rfam family "Bacterial small subunit ribosomal RNA", at positions 8 to 606 of the family's 1533-position model. The record is from RNAcentral. Lineage: Bacteria; Pseudomonadati; Pseudomonadota; Alphaproteobacteria; Hyphomicrobiales; Phyllobacteriaceae.
AGAGUUGGAUCCUGACUCAGAACGAGCGCUGGCGACAGGCUUAGCACAUGCAAGUCGAGCGCCCCGCAAGGGGAGCGGCAGACGGGUGAGUAACGCGUGGGAAUCUACCCAUCUCUACGGAACAACUCCGGGAAACUGGAGCUAAUACCGUAUACGUCCUUCGGGAGAAAGAUUUAUCGGAGAUGGAUGAGCCCGCGUUGGAUUAGCUAGUUGGUGGGGUAAUGGCCUACCAAGGCGACGAUCCAUAGCUGGUCUGAGAGGAUGAUCAGCCACAUUGGGACUGAGACACGGCCCAAACUCCUACGGGAGGCAGCAGUGGGGAAUAUUGGACAAUGGGCGAAAGCCUGAUCCAGCCAUGCCGCGUGAGUGAUGAAGGCCCUAGGGUUGUAAAGCUCUUUCAACGGUGAAGAUAAUGACGGUAACCGUAGAAGAAGCCCCGGCUAACUUCGUGCCAGCAGCCGCGGUAAUACGAAGGGGGCUAGCGUUGUUCGGAAUUACUGGGCGUAAAGCGCACGUAGGCGGAUUGUUAAGUUAGGGGUGAAAUCCCAGC